CACUCCUACGGGAGGCAGCAGUGGGGAAUAUUGGACAAUGGGCGCAAGCCUGAUCCAGCCAUGCCGCGUGAGUGAUGAAGGCCCUAGGGUUGUAAAGCUCUUUCACCGGUGAAGAUAAUGACGGUAACCGGAGAAGAAGCCCCGGCUAACUUCGUGCCAGCAGCCGCGGUAAUACGAAGGGGGCUAGCGUUGUUCGGAUUUACUGGCGUAAAGCGCACGUAGGCGGACUAUUAAGUCAGGGGUGAAAUCCCGGGGCUCAACCCCGGAACUGCCUUUGAUACUGGUAGUCUUGAGUUCGAGAGAGGUGAGUGGAAUUCCGAGUGUAGAGGUGAAAUUCGUAGAUAUUCGGAGGAACACCAGUGGCGAAGGCGGCUCACUGGCUCGAUACUGACGCUGAGGUGCGAAAGCGUGGGGAGCAAACAGGAUUAGAAACCCCAGUAGUCCCAU
This 447-nucleotide ribosomal RNA is filed under the name uncultured organism. RNAcentral's name for it is "partial 16S ribosomal RNA". It matches the Rfam family "Bacterial small subunit ribosomal RNA", at positions 334 to 798 of the family's 1533-position model. The record is from RNAcentral.